Dermochelys coriacea (leatherback sea turtle) is the source of this 2019-nucleotide long non-coding RNA. RefSeq lists it as uncharacterized. The transcript has 4 exons. The record is from RefSeq and is a predicted model, not a curated record. NCBI's taxonomy places the organism in Eukaryota, Metazoa, Chordata, Testudines, Dermochelyidae.
UGUUUCAUGUUUCAGGAACGUGCUUUGCAGGCUGUUGUGUGGAGAUGAUUGCCCAGAUGUGGGAGCAUUUGACCGGCAGAUCCCUCUUCCCUCCAGAAGAGUGAAACUUGUGUCUCCUCCUGAGAAAACCCUAAGAGAAGCUUGUUAUGUUGAGGGCCCGUUUUGAAUCCAGCCCAAGUCCCCAGUGACUGAAAUCUGUUACCACCUGAUAGCUGCUGGGGGGGGUGCCCUGAGCAUUGGAAAUAGGGUGUGGCAUUUGCUAGACUUGGCCAGUGGCUGUUUCCGAAGCUAUAGAAGACAGCUGCAGCGGCACAGGAGCUAGCAAACAGAGCUCUAAACAGGGGAGUUUGAGUGGGAGUUCUGGUGGAGGAGAAGACCAGAAGGGACCAUUGGGAUCAUCUACUCUGACCUCCUGGAUAACACAAACCAGAGAACUUUCCUGAAUGAAUUCCUUUUGAAUCUGAAAAACAUCCCCUCUGGAUUUUAAAAUGUCCAGCCAUGGACCAUCUCUCCCAGCCUCUGGCUCAGGUUGGCCACUCCUGCUCUAGCUGCUGUUUUACCAGUGACUGAUUUUUGAGAGCGAAAUCUUUGGGCGAGAUCCCAAUGCUGUUACUCAUCUUGAAUGGCACCUGAGUCCAUGACACUAUUAACAAGAACCUGUCCCUGUUGUUUCCCCUACAGUCCUGCCCCACAAUAUCCUUUUGUCUUAAACAAAUUGUGCUUUUCAACGUACAUGACACUAUGCACUCUGUGCCCUUCAUCCAGCCCAGUGGAGAAAGAGGUCUCACUGUGCAGAUUAAUUCUGCUCUUAUUUUGGCUGGGUUGUAUUGGGGGGGUGGGCGGGGAAUGGGAGUUGGAGAGUUUCGGGGAGUCUCAUGAAAAUUGUUUUUUAAGCCUCUAGCUUGUGUUUUUUCCUUUGGAGCAUUACUAAAUCUGCCUAUGGCUUGCUAAUUGAAGCGAGGCCUAUGCUAAUAAACAGUCGGGUUUGAUGGCGGGUCUUGUCCUGCUCUAAGGAAGCCCAGGGAAUAAAUGUAAGCAUUCCCACCCAUACAGCCUCCAGAACUGAUUUUCAUGCCCGAGCCAAUGGAACGCAGGUCUCAUAGCCUGUAAGGCCAAAGGGCCCAUUGUGAUCAUCUAGUCCGACCUCCUGCACAUCGCAGGCCAUAGUACCUCGCCCACCCCCUCCGCUCGUCGGCCCAGACCUGCAAAGUGCUGUGUUCUAACCCUGGAGCCUACUGGGCUCAAGCAGGUUCUACAAGUGGUAGGAGACGUUCUCCCUGCCCCCAAUGACAGGCUGCUUUACUCACAUCGUGGAGGGUCAACGGCACUGAAAUAGGUCGAGGGCUCCAGUCUAUACCUUCCCAGUCAAGUCCCACCGCUGGCUUCAGAACCUUCCCCCGGCGCCUGGAAUGGUCUCGGCUGGGUGGAGGCCUCUUCACUUCUUUCCACCUCCCUGCUACGAUCCACACACGCUGAGCUGCCCACAAGAAUUGUGUCAAGUAACCCCUGCACAUCACCAUGAGACGGAUGGAAGGGGCUCCAGGAAGGAACAUCCAAACUGCACUCCUCAAUGGAUCCAAGUCCCACUCUACAGUUGGAACAGCUUUAAGUUGGCGUCCAGCUUCUCCCCAAAGUGUCUGUGUCACACAGUAGCAGAGCGGAUGGGAUCAUGUCUUUCACAUUGAUGGGGCUGCUUUUGGUCCUUCCCAAAUGUGUUUUUUUAAAAAAACCCCACAGUCCCUUGCACCAUUCCUAACUAGUAUCCAGGCAGAUUAUAUUUGUAGCCCUGAUGUAGUCUAAAAUAUCUCAGUUAUGUGAUACUCUUGUUAGCAGUGCUGGAGAGGCCAAGGGGGAGGGGACACCCUGUCCUCUCCCCACCAUUCAGCUAUCUAGUGGGGGAGAACAUAAGAAUGGCCAUACUGGGUCAGACCAAAGGUCCAUCCAGCUCAGUAUCUUGUCUACCGACAGUGGCCAAUGCCAGGUGCCUCAGAGGGAGUGAAUCUAACAGGUAAUGAUCAA